GAUGAACGCUGGCGGCGUGCCUAAUACAUGCAAGUCGAGCGAACAGACGAGGAGCUUGCUCCUCUGACGUUAGCGGCGGACGGGUGAGUAACACGUGGAUAACCUACCUAUAAGACUGGGAUAACUUCGGGAAACCGGAGCUAAUACCGGAUAAUAUAUUGAACCGCAUGGUUCAAUAGUGAAAGACGGUUUUGCUGUCACUUAUAGAUGGAUCCGCGCCGCAUUAGCUAGUUGGUAAGGUAACGGCUUACCAAGGCAACGAUGCGUAGCCGACCUGAGAGGGUGAUCGGCCACACUGGAGCUGAGAAACGGUCCAGACACCUACGGGAGGCAGCAGUAGGGAAUCUUCCGCAAUGGGCGAAAGCCUGACGGAGCAACGCCGCGUGAGGGAUGAAGGUCUUCGGAUCGUAGAACUCUGUUAUUAGGGAAGAACAAAUGUGUAAGUAACUAUGCACGUCUUGACGGUACCUAAUCAAGAAGCCACGGCUAACUACGUG
This 497-nucleotide ribosomal RNA is filed under the name uncultured bacterium. Its description in RNAcentral is "partial 16S ribosomal RNA". It matches the Rfam family "Bacterial small subunit ribosomal RNA", at positions 28 to 507 of the family's 1533-position model. The record is from RNAcentral.